UACGGAGGGAGCUAGCGUUGUUCGGAUAUACUGGGCGUAAAGCGCACGUAGGCGGCGUCGUAAGUCAGGGGUGAAAUCCCGGAGCUCAACUCCGGAACUGCCCUUGAAACUGCAAUGCUAGAAUCUUGGAGAGGCGAGUGGAAUUCCGAGUGUAGAGGUGAAAUUCGUAGAUAUUCGGAAGAACACCAGUGGCGAAGGUGACUCGCUGGACAAGUAUUGACGCUGAGGCACGAAAGCGUGGGGAUCAAACAGG
This 253-nucleotide ribosomal RNA is filed under the name uncultured bacterium. RNAcentral's name for it is "partial 16S ribosomal RNA". It matches the Rfam family "Bacterial small subunit ribosomal RNA", at positions 524 to 776 of the family's 1533-position model. The record is from RNAcentral.